Molecule: ribosomal RNA, 253 nt
Filed under: uncultured bacterium
Lineage: Bacteria
Description: partial 16S ribosomal RNA
Rfam family: Bacterial small subunit ribosomal RNA
Source: RNAcentral
UACGGAGGAUGCAAGCGUUAUCCGGAAUUACUGGGCGUAAAGGGCGCGCAGGCGGAUCGAUAAGUGAGGCAUGAAAGCUUCGGGCUAAACCUGGAGAGGCUGUCUGAGACUGUCGAUCUGGAGUGCGAUAGAGGGGUGUAGAAUUCCGCGUGUAGUGGUGAAAUGCGUAGAGAUGCGGAGGAAUACCAGAGGCGAAGGCGGCACCCUGGAUCGUAACUGACGCUGAGGCGCGAAAGCAUGGGGAGCGAACGGG